This is a long non-coding RNA of Mustela erminea (ermine), 2669 nucleotides long. RefSeq lists it as uncharacterized. NCBI's taxonomy places the organism in Eukaryota, Metazoa, Chordata, Mammalia, Carnivora, Mustelidae. The transcript has 4 exons. The record is from RefSeq and is a predicted model, not a curated record.
GAGGGAAUGAGGAGUGACUGGUUGACACAGAGUUUCUUUUCAGGGUGAUGAAAAUGUUCUAAAGUUGAGUGUGAUGCUGGUUGUACAACUUGUGAAUAUACUAAAAAAAAAAAACCAUGGAAUUAUGUAUGCUUUAGGUAAACAAAUUGUAUGGUAUAUGAAUUUUAUCUCAAUAAAACUGUUAUAAAUCUAAAGUUACUGAAAUAGAAAGUAGCAUUUGGUAGCUGGCAUACAGAUGCAUAACCAAAUACUAUGAAAAUUCAGAGUAAAGGCAACUUUCCAGGCUGCUGCAAUUAGAAAGCUUUUGAUAGAAAUAGGACAAGACAUAUGGAAUUGGAGGAAAGGAAAAGAAGGUAUUUCUUGAGAAAGAAUGACAAAAACAAGAAGGAAAUGACAGCCUGUGUCUGGGAAGUGGUGAAAUGUCUGGUUUGGCCCAUGUGCUUUGUGCCAGUGGUUACAAUAGCCAGGUGUUGCCACACUUUGGAGAAUAAUGAAAGUAUUUAAAAUUGUGACUUUGCCCCCCAAAUCUAGAGUGUGCUGUUAUGAUAUGGUGUAAAGGAAGAGUGUAGCUUGAAAUGACAAAUUGGUCUAGAGCAUGGUGAGAGAGGUAUGAAUACAUGUGAGGAGACCAUCUCUGAUUCUUUUCUUUCUGGAAGCUCUCUAUCCCAUUUCUUUAUUAGUUCAUGUAGAUAUACAUGAAAAGAUUGCCAGGCUUGGGGCAGUCUGUGGAAAGUGGCACCUGUAGAAAGAACCUUAUAUCUGAGUACAAUGUAUUCUUCCUGGUUUCUUGUUACUGUUUCUUGGUAGAUUCAGGAUGUUCCUCUUCUGUGUCAGGGGGGUAGUCAAAUGUAUGUCAAGCUUCAAGCCCUAUAGCAUGAGUUAGAGAAGUGAUAUAAACUGAUCACAAUUAUUUCACUCAUUUAUGUUCCCUUUCCUAGUUAUUUUACUGAGCAUGCCAUGUAAAAACUAAUCUAUGUUAGAUGUUGUAGGAGCUUAAAAAAAGACAUCACUCAACAGCUCAUGUUAAUGGAUGUAGUUCUGUUUAUUUUGAAACUUAUUAAAUGUUUUCUUCACUCAGCCACUAAAAGUGAUUGGAGGAACUGAGAGGUUCUGAAGAUCCAAACUAACUGCUUUGUAUAUGGUCAGGUGGGGUGAAGGAUUCAGGGUGAGGCUGUUCCUGGUCCCCACGCCCAGCAGGAGGCCUCCUGUUCCAGUCUUUUUGGCUUUGUUUAUCAAGUCUACUUACAAGGAGAAGUGUUCUUCAGACUCUGGUCUAGAGUCCACCUGGGCUAUGCAGUGAGUGUAAGGAUGAGGCAGCCCAAUUCAGCCCCAGACCCAGUAAUCCAUAUGCUGUGUGGGAAAUGCACCCUAAUAAAAAGAUGCCCACUAUAGAAUUUGGGCUUACAGGUUAAUAGAGAUAAAAAUCAUACUUACCCUUAAGAAGAUAGAGACUAAAUUUCAUUUCCUCUCCUUCCUGUACCUUCACUCUCUAUACAUUAUGGAUAUAAGUUCUAUUUCCUUAUUUUUCCAUUUAUAAUGUAUUUAUCAUAAUGUAAAUAUAAAAGGUCACUAUAGAAAAUUCAGAAAUAUGUAAUGAAAACUACUAAAAUCACACAUAAUCUCACCAUCCAGAAGUAACCAGUGCAAACCUUUUGGCAUAUUUCUUUCCUUUUUCUAGAUGCACAUAUUUUUUUCCCACAAGGUUGAAAUCAUACAUACAUGUAAACAUAUAUUGUUUUGUAUUUUUAUUUCUCACUAAAAAUUGUAUAGUGAGCAUUUUCUGUGCCAUUUAAUUCUUUUACAAAAAUGUGAUUUAUUUUUUUUUAAUGGGCACAGAAUGAUUCCCCAGUAUUGGACAUUAUGCUGUUCUUUGGGUUUCUCUUUCACCAUAAUGCCUUGCAAACACUUCCUUUUUUAGCCAACAAAUGCAGCUAUUAGAAAUACUAAGUCUCAUGGAGAUCUUUACUGACCUUUUGCUGCAACAACUUGGUGGUAACAGUGUCACCAAGACUUCUCCCUGGGGACUACCACACAACUGUUCUUCCAAAGACAUGCUGACUCCUCCUUACUUUCUUCGUACCUGGUUGAUCAGAGGGACCAGCCACGAUAAAGCUACAGAGUGCACAUUCUCCAGGACCUAAUAAGACUCUAGAAUAGAGUCUUAUUACAUACAAUAUUACUUAUUGUAAUAUUCCACAAACUACAUGCUUCAUCAGUGGAUGGGCUCUUCUCUUGCUGGAUGCUCUGGGUAGUAGGACUUCCCACAGUGUGUGGUGAAGUUGCAGAGCUUUGUCAGGACAGAAUUUAGGUGACAUGCAGAUUUCAGCUAACCUGAAAGAAUGUCUUUCUUUUUGGUGAUUGUUGACAAACUGCUGCUUGUUCAUGAUGCAGAUUUUGAAAUGCCCAGGUGCAGUUUGAUAGGGUUGAUGAUGGCAACGUGGCAAGGUGCAUCUCUAAGGGCUGGUUCCUCACGCCCAGUGUGACCUGGCCUGACCUGGCAAAGAGGGACAUGAGCAACCACAGUACCGUGGAAGUCCUGGAGGAACAGAUGAAUGGCUUCUGCACGGUACUAUCUGUCCUGAAAUACCUUGUCAAGUUAAAUGAGAAAUAUGUCUGCUGCUAACAGAGACAAAUAUGAACAACCAGCCCUUCAGAAUCAUCCACAAAUA